GCGAGGGUAUCCAAGCUUGGCCAACGGAGUGUGACUCAAGAUCACAUCCUGCAGAGGUUCGCGGGUUCAAAUCCCUCCCCUCGCA
This 85-nucleotide transfer RNA is filed under the name Methanomicrobiales archaeon. RNAcentral's name for it is "tRNA-Leu". It matches the Rfam family "tRNA". From Rfam's summary of the family: Transfer RNA (tRNA) molecules are approximately 80 nucleotides in length. Their secondary structure includes four short double-helical elements and three loops (D, anti-codon, and T loops). Further hydrogen bonds mediate the characteristic L-shaped molecular structure. tRNAs have two regions of fundamental functional importance: the anti-codon, which is responsible for specific mRNA codon recognition, and the 3' end, to which the tRNAs corresponding amino acid is attached (by aminoacyl-tRNA synthetases). tRNAs cope with the degeneracy of the genetic code in two manners: having more than one tRNA (with a specific anti-codon) for a particular amino acid; and 'wobble' base-pairing, i.e. permitting non-standard base-pairing at the 3rd anti-codon position. Lineage: Archaea; Methanobacteriati; Methanobacteriota; Methanomicrobia; Methanomicrobiales. The record is from RNAcentral.